CCUACGGGUGGCUGCAGUGGGGAAUAUUGCACAAUGGGGGAAGCCCUGAUGCAGCAACGCCGCGUGAAGGAUGAAGGUUUUCGGAUUGUAAACUUCUUUAGUCAGGGACGAAUAAAUGACGGUACCUGAAGAAUAAGCCACGGCUAACUACGUGCCAGCAGCCGCGGUAAUACGUAGGUGGCGAGCGUUGUCCGGAAUUACUGGGUGUAAAGGGCGUGUAGGCGGGAAUGUAAGUCAGAUGUGAAAUCCCAGGGCUUAACCCUGGAGCUGCAUCUGAAACUAUGUUUCUUGAGUGCCGGAGAGGAUAGCGGAAUUCCUAGUGUAGCGGUGAAAUGCGUAGAUAUUAGGAGGAACACCAGUGGCGAAGGCGGCUAUCUGGACGGUAACUGACGCUGAGGCGCGAAAGCGUGGGGAGCAAACAGGAUUAGAUACCCUGGUAG
Molecule: ribosomal RNA, 440 nt
Filed under: uncultured bacterium
Lineage: Bacteria
Description: bacterial SSU rRNA
Rfam family: Bacterial small subunit ribosomal RNA
Source: RNAcentral